Molecule: transfer RNA, 98 nt
Filed under: Mycolicibacterium fortuitum
Lineage: Bacteria; Bacillati; Actinomycetota; Actinomycetes; Mycobacteriales; Mycobacteriaceae
Also listed under: 1 other name
Description: tRNA-seC(tca)
Source: RNAcentral
GAACGGUGGUGUCGUCGGCAGCGAUGACGUCGCCAUCUUUCAGCGGUGGCGCGGCGCCGUCGCGAGGCAACAGUUCCACAUACUGUUCACCGAUCGCC